Molecule: transfer RNA, 71 nt
Filed under: Loxodonta africana (African savanna elephant)
Lineage: Eukaryota; Metazoa; Chordata; Mammalia; Proboscidea; Elephantidae
Rfam family: tRNA
About the family: Transfer RNA (tRNA) molecules are approximately 80 nucleotides in length. Their secondary structure includes four short double-helical elements and three loops (D, anti-codon, and T loops).
Source: Rfam by way of RNAcentral
ACAUUAGUAGUUUAGUGGUAGAAUUCUCGCCCUCCAUGUCGGAGACCUGGGUUCGAUUCCCAACCAGUGUA